Molecule: long non-coding RNA, 200 nt
Filed under: Elaeis guineensis (African oil palm)
Lineage: Eukaryota; Viridiplantae; Streptophyta; Magnoliopsida; Arecales; Arecaceae
Description: long non-coding RNA (EGUI_LNC068809)
Source: RNAcentral
UCUUCUUCUGGACGUCGACCCAUUAAGAAAGAAAAAAAAAUAAGAAGAAUAAAAAAAGAAUGCAAAGUGCUGGGGCACCCAAACCCAGUCAGAUCAAGAAAUCCAAGUCCGAUCAGAGUCAGACAGAAUACUUCUAUUGCAAGAAGAAGAGGUACUGAAAGAAAAAUUCUCCUCAGUACAUUACCUCCUUGGAUCCAAAC